GACGCUGGCGGCGCGCCUAACACAUGCAAGUCGAACGAGCGAGAGGGAGCUUGCUUUCUCGAGCGAGUGGCGAACGGGUGAGUAACGCGUGAGGAACCUGCCUUUCAGAGGGGGACAACAGUUGGAAACGACUGCUAAUACCGCAUGAUGCAUAGGGAUCGCAUGAUUCUUAUGCCAAAGAUUUAUCGCUUCAAGAUGGCCUCGCGUCUGAUUAGCUAGUUGGCGGGGUAACGGCCCACCAAGGCGACGAUCAGUAGCCGGACUGAGAGGUUGAACGGCCACAUUGUGACUGAGAUACGGCCCAGACUCCUACGGGAGGCAGCAGUGGGGAAUAUUGGGCAAUGGGCGCAAGCCUGACCCAGCAACGCCGCGUGAAGGAAGAAGGCUUUCGGGUUGUAAACUUCUUUUAAGAGGGAAGAGCAGAAGACGGUACCUCUAGAAUAAGCCACGGCUAACUACGUG
This 462-nucleotide ribosomal RNA is filed under the name uncultured bacterium. Its description in RNAcentral is "bacterial SSU rRNA". It matches the Rfam family "Bacterial small subunit ribosomal RNA", at positions 33 to 507 of the family's 1533-position model. The record is from RNAcentral.